Molecule: transfer RNA, 76 nt
Filed under: Candidatus Omnitrophica bacterium ADurb.Bin292
Lineage: Bacteria; Pseudomonadati; Candidatus Omnitrophota
Description: tRNA-Arg
Rfam family: tRNA
About the family: Transfer RNA (tRNA) molecules are approximately 80 nucleotides in length. Their secondary structure includes four short double-helical elements and three loops (D, anti-codon, and T loops).
Source: RNAcentral
UGCCCCCAUAGCUCAAUUGGAUAGAGCAUCUCCGUCCUAAGGAGAGGGUUGCAUGUUCGAUUCAUGCUGGGGGCAU